UACGAAAUAGUAAUUCUAUAAAUAGUUAUGAAUAGUAAUGAAUAGUAACUAUAUGAAUGCAGAAUGCAUGCAACGAUAAAGAAGAUGAGGUAAACAGUAUUUAAAAUAAAAUAACACAAAGUAAACACAAACAAACAGAGGAAUGAAGUAACUAAUACUUCAUUAAAAUAAACUUAUUUAUGGACAUAUAGAGAUGAAAAUACAUGAACAUAAAGAACUUAUAGGAUGAAGAAACAAAAGGAUGAACAGUAUUUACACAGGUGGGAGAAAGCUUGCAGGAGCUUGCUUCUCUCCGACUACAGGACUCUAAAAGCAAACUUAUGUACAAGACUCAAGAACACACACAACGAUGGGACUUUACAAGGACUCAAGGAAAGGAUAUAUACAAAGGUACA
RNAcentral lists this long non-coding RNA (395 nucleotides) under Elaeis guineensis (African oil palm). RNAcentral describes it as "long non-coding RNA (EGUI_LNC065739)". Lineage: Eukaryota; Viridiplantae; Streptophyta; Magnoliopsida; Arecales; Arecaceae. The record is from RNAcentral.